This 635-nucleotide long non-coding RNA is filed under the name Helianthus annuus (common sunflower). The record is from RNAcentral. Lineage: Eukaryota; Viridiplantae; Streptophyta; Magnoliopsida; Asterales; Asteraceae.
CUCGCAGCUUCGCCAGAAGCUACGAAGGGGGGCCUCGCCCCGGGAAGGGGAGAGUGGCCGAGUGGUUAAAAGCGACAGACUGUAAAUCUGUUGAAGUUUUUCUACGUAGGUUCGAAUCCUGCCUCUCCCACUUGUUGUAGACUUCAGAGAAGAGAAAAGAGGCAUUCGUCAGCGUAGGAAGGCCAACCGAGCGAAGCUCCUUUGGCCGUUCCGUGAAGUUCAAUUGUAUCGUAUGUUAGUUAGAGAGGUUGGCGAACUACUAUGAUCUAUAGAUUCCCUAUCCAUAUCGAAUCCCAACGAGAAUAGAAGCGAGUAGCUUCCGGCUUGGCUUGUAGUCGUAGUCUUUUAGCUUAUAUAGUCGUCGGCCUUCCUACACGCACGCGCCCGCCAGAAUGCCUCCUUGGUUCGGUAUGAAGCCAAGCCGAUACAUACGAUAGGCGAAGGAAAGACCCCUAUUUCAUAGCGCCUGGGGAACGCAAGUUUGAUCGAGGAUUGGAGAGGAGAGGUGGAAGAAAAGGCUCGGGAUGAAUUUAGGAGUCUUUGUGCGAGCCGUAUGCGGUGAGAGUCGCACGUACGGUAACGAGGGGGGUUCGUGUCUAUACGUGUAGUGUGGUGGUUGGGCCUACCCACCCUAU